AUUAAGUUUAAUUUAAUAUAGGAUCUGCUCAAUGAUUAUAAAUUAAAUAGCUGCAGUAUUUUGACUGUGCAAAGGUAGCAUAAUAAUUAGUCUUUUAAUUGAGGACUUGAAUGAAAGAUUUGAUGAGAAAUAAACUUUAUUAUUUAUAUUAUUAAAAUUUUAUUUUUAAGUAAAAAAGCUUAAAUUUUUUUAAGGGACGAUAAGACCCUAUAAAACUUUAUAAAUUUAAUUUUUUUAAAUUUUUGGUUUUAUAAUAAAUUUAUAAUUUUAAAUUUAUUUUAUUGGGGUGAUAAAAAAAAUAAAUUAACUUUUUUUAAAUAUUAACAUUAAUUAAUGAUUUUUUGAAUUAAAUUUUUUAAUUAUAAGAAAAAGUUACUUUAGGGAUAACAGCGUAAUUAAUUUUUUAAGUUCAAAUUUGAAAAUUAGAUUGCGACCUCGAUGUUGAAUUAAGAUUAAUCUUAGGUGCAAAAUUUUAAGUUUUAGGUCUGUUCGACCUUUAAAUUCUUAC
RNAcentral lists this ribosomal RNA (508 nucleotides) under Macrosiphum albifrons (lupin aphid). RNAcentral's name for it is "partial 16S ribosomal RNA". The record is from RNAcentral. Lineage: Eukaryota; Metazoa; Arthropoda; Insecta; Hemiptera; Aphididae.